CGUAGGGCGCAAGCGUUGUCCGGAUUUAUUGGGCGUAAAGAGCUCGUAGGCGGCUUGUUGCGUCGACUGUGAAAACCCGUGGCUCAACCAUGUGGUCUGCAGUCGAUACGGGCAGGCUAGAAUUCGGUAGGGGAGACUGGAAUUCCUGGUGUAGCGGUGAAAUGCGCAGAUAUCAGGAGGAACACCGGUGGCGAAGGCGGGUCUCUGGGCCGAUAUUGACGCUGAGGAGCGAAAGCGUGGGGAGCGAACAGGAUUAGAUACCCUGGUAGUCCACGCUGUAAACGUUGGGCGCUAGGUGUGGGGGGCCUCUCCGGUUCUCUGUGCCGCAGCUAACGCAUUAAGCGCCCCGCCUGGGGAGUACGGCCGCAAGGCUA
This 374-nucleotide ribosomal RNA is filed under the name uncultured organism. RNAcentral describes it as "bacterial SSU rRNA". It matches the Rfam family "Bacterial small subunit ribosomal RNA", at positions 526 to 896 of the family's 1533-position model. The record is from RNAcentral.